Molecule: long non-coding RNA, 1073 nt
Filed under: Sinocyclocheilus grahami
Lineage: Eukaryota; Metazoa; Chordata; Actinopteri; Cypriniformes; Cyprinidae
Description: lncRNA (ENSSGRG00000030131.1)
Source: RNAcentral
CCACCUGUGGCUUCUUGCGGGGUCUCCGACCCCGGACCAGGUGGCUGAGAAAGUACUCAUUGACCGGCUGCUACGGGCCCUGCCCCGCCCGCUGAGGCGCCCGGUCAGUAUGCGAAACCCCCAGGACGUCCACAGUCUGGUAGAGGCGGUCGAACUGGUGGUGGCAACGAACGCCCGCGAGGCAGGGGAGAGAGUGCUGCAGGGUGAUGGAGCGGCGUCCGCUCGAAGGUGCACCAGGCAGCAGACCGGUGGUCCUCUACGGGGCGGAUGAGCCAAUACCCACGGAACCCCCAGCUCCGACGGCCCGGGCAUGGGUGGCGGGGUGUUUCCUGCACCAGGACGGAUGUCCCCCGGGCCCCAGCAGGAUGGUACAACUGGAUGGGAAGCCCGUCCAGGCCUUCUUGGACUCCGGCAGUUCAGUCACCCUCGUGCAACCGUCCCUGGUACGACCCAGGCCCGAGCAGAAAUCCCAGUUGCCGCUGACGUGUGUGCACGGAGACACCCGCUGGGUAACGGCCCGGACGGUGCGGAGCCCGGGACCUGGGCCAUCGAGGUGGGCAUUGUGCCGGAUCUCCCUGUACCUCUGCUCCUGGGACGGGAUUGGCCGGGGUUCCAGAAGCUCCUCCUUGGAUCCAGGAUGCCACGCUGUACCGCCCGGAAUGGGCCACGGCGACCCCGUCGGGGACCGCCCAGCCCCAGGCCGGUCUACCUAGCGACGGACAGCGAGAGGGAGGGUGAGUGUCAGCCUCCUAAUCUGCCAUCUGUCUACCUUGAUGUGUUUUCCCAGGUCACGACCGGGGGCUCGUUUGGAAGGGAACAACGCGAGGACGACCGCCUACGGAACUGCUGGGAUCAAGUGCGCCGCAUUGAUGAGGUAGACAGGCUCCCGGGGCCUCACCCCCUCCCUCAUUUUGAAAUAUGCAAUGGUCUGCUGUACUGUGUCGCCCACAGGCGAGGGGAGGACAAAUUCCUCCUGGUAGUGCCUACCACCAAGACGGAGACGUUCAUGGAGCUGGCCCACGGCCACCCAAUAGCGGGACACCUAGGAGCCGACAAAACCGUCCAGAUCACCC